Anopheles arabiensis is the source of this 1829-nucleotide long non-coding RNA. RefSeq lists it as uncharacterized. Lineage: Eukaryota; Metazoa; Arthropoda; Insecta; Diptera; Culicidae. The transcript is spliced from 3 exons. The record is from RefSeq and is a predicted model, not a curated record.
UAUUCGCCCCGAUGAGUUAGUAUUGAAGUUAAGCUGGUAUAGUCCACUCUGAUGCAAACCAUCAACGAACUGGACACUGCGCGCGGAGCGUGCAUGAGGCUCAUAGAAAUCAAAAGCAGCUCCAUUUUCCUCUGACGCCGAUGUCCAGGAUAGCGUAGACUGGUUGAAAUCACCAAUAAGCAUGAACCUGUCUCUCGGACCAAGAGUAGUGCUGAUAUUAGCAACGAAGUCGAUCAAUGCACUUAUUUUCUCCUCAUUCAUGCUUUGGUUAGGAGGCAGGUAGGCAGCGGCAAUAAACAAACGGUGGUCGCAUAACUGAAUACAUACGCAAGUGAGUUCUAACAGUGGCGGCAACGUAGGAAGCACAUAAGAGAGAAGAGAAACGUUGCAUGCAAUUAAAACACCACCCCCACGAGAGUGAGAGCUGUUAUUGGCAUCCCGGUCGCAUCGGUAAACACGAUACUCAUCUCCUAGAAGGAGAGCGGUGGGAAUACAGGGAUCAAGCCAAGUUUCAGUGAGUACCAAUACAUCGUAUUCCGUCUCAAGAACCGACAAACGGAACUCAUCGGCUUUAGAACGCAGGCCACGCACAUUCUGAUAGUACACAGUGAUACAAGCCGCUCGAUCAGUGGGUGCUUGUUGCGUAGUGUUAGUAGGCGCUGUGGUGUUGCAAUUGAGCGAGCUUAUCGUAGAAGGUGAGUGUAUUGUGUUUGUUGUCGAAGGAUUUGCUCGAGCCGUAUGCGCAAAAUAUGGGUGCGCUGCUGUAGUGCGGUUACUUCGGAAAAAAUUGAACCAGUGUAGUUUGAAGUGUUUUUGAACGUGACGUGGACGGAAGAGUGGGUGAAGGGAGAGUGCAGUUCAUAUCGGUUGGUGAUUGUUCGGUUUGUGUUCGUGCGGGUUCAUGGAUAUGUGCAGGUGAGUAUGGAUUAUUGUGGGGAUUAUUGUGUUGGGUACAAGGCUGCUGUGGUGCCGGUGAGUGUUGAGUGCGAGGCUGUUGUGGUGCCGGUGUCUGCUGAGUACGGGGUUGUUGCGGUAUCGGUGUGUAAGUGUUCGUGUGUUGUGUUCGUGAAUGUAGAGAUCGCGGCGGGAGUGAAAUGAACUCACGCACACCGAGCCCGACCGGCCAGGAGGCUGCGUUAAGUGCCUUACUACGAAGGGCAGCAGGGAUUCUGACCUUGAACGAUACAGCACUCAAUGGGCUAGGAACCGUUCCUGCUUUUAGCAGACUAAAAGCAAUUACGUCUGCAGUGUCCAACUGCAAACACACCAAAGAGACAACUUGCUCUAUGGUGACGGACGCAGCCAACCUUGAAAGAUGCAGCCAUAAAUAAUCGGUUCUUGGUGUCUGUGAAACGGUUGGUAUUGAAGCGGAGGUUGUAUUAGUACCUGUGAUUAUUGGUGGUAGUGAAGGACGAUCGAUUCGUGCAUCUGGGAGCAAUUGAUUGCUUUGCUGCAAGGAUGCCGAAUGGGCCGUGGCGAUUCCGGCAAAGCCAUCCCGAAUCUCCUGUAUUACCGGUGGGACCAAGCUAGCCUUCAUGGCAUCAACAGCAGCUGUGAGGGCUGCCUGAAACCCAACCUGCAUACCCAUGCCCUUGACCGCCUUGCUACGCGGAUUCCCGAUGGCGUUAGUACACCCAAUGCAACUCCAGUGCAGGGAAGCCAUCCGUUUCACUUCAUCGAUGACCGAUAUAGGCACCUUAGUGCACACCAGAUGAUGCCGCUGCAGAUGAACGUCGAAGCAGCCACAAAUAAAAGCCAAAUAUAUCGCGAACACGGUGGUUUUCGUCAGGAACACGAUGGCAGGGUCACGAGACUACACUUAUGGACAC